UUUUUUUAUGCAUUAUAUAUGGAUACACAAUAGCCACCAGCCAAAUGCCUGGCCAAAAGCUACCUUUUUGAUGACUCCAAAUAUAAUACAGGCCAGGUACAGUAGCUCACACCUGUAAUCCAAACAUUUUGUGAGGCCCAAGCAAGAGGAUCAUUUGAGCCCAGUAGUUCGAGACCAGCCUGGGAAACAUAAUGAGACCCCAUCUUUAUAGAAAGCAAAAAAUAGACUCUUUUCCUUUUCAGUUCACAGCUUUUAAGGCCCUGCACUGAAAAUGCAUGCUCAGGCGCUGACGGUUGUUGUGACCCAAGCUGGACUCGGUCCCACACCCCAGGACUCCAACUGGCAGGCAGGCAUGUGACGGCUGCAGCGACGGCGGAGUCUGUCUCUGCGGUGCACUGUGUUGUGUGCUUUGGGUGUCAAAUUGCAGCUGACGUGAAUUAACGUUGUCUGUGUGGAACAGGCGUCACAAUGAGGACUCUCUAUAGGACCCGAUAUGGCAUCCCUGGAUCUGUUGGGGAUGACUAUUUGGCAGCCCUUUGCUGUCCUCAUUGUUCUCUUUGCCAAAUCAAGAAAGAGAUCAACAGAAGGAGAGCCACGCAUGCUUUCUAAAAACUGAUGAUGAAAAGCUCUUGUUGAAGCAACAAGUCAGCAGACACCUCUUCAGCUUGAGUUCUUCACCAACAAAUUUUUGAUUUUUUAUAAAUGAAUGUUGUCCCUGAGCUUAUCUAAAUCGUCUAGCUUAGUUUCUCCUCACUUUCCUAUUAUCAAAUUUUCUGGCUUACAAACUUUUUAAAUUACACUUGAAAUAUAAACCAAAUAAAAGAUUUUACUG
Molecule: RNA transcript, 832 nt
Organism: Cebus imitator (Panamanian white-faced capuchin)
Lineage: Eukaryota; Metazoa; Chordata; Mammalia; Primates; Cebidae
Gene name: placenta-specific gene 8 protein-like
Exons: 1
Source: RefSeq, a predicted model, not a curated record